UAAUAAGUGUUUUAUGGCACUUUUUAAAUCCAUAUCCACCUUGUGUGCAAUGUCAGUCGAUCUUAUUCAUGGAGAUCGACCAAACAUCAACCUUUAUCUUUUAACUCUUUGUCUGAAAAAUAUUAUGAAUAAACAAUUCAAAAUA
This 145-nucleotide unclassified non-coding RNA is filed under the name soil metagenome. Its description in RNAcentral is "partial internal transcribed spacer 1". The record is from RNAcentral.